RNAcentral lists this ribosomal RNA (301 nucleotides) under uncultured bacterium. RNAcentral describes it as "partial 16S ribosomal RNA". It matches the Rfam family "Bacterial small subunit ribosomal RNA", at positions 509 to 808 of the family's 1533-position model. The record is from RNAcentral.
CAGUGCCACGGUAAAACGAAGGGUGCAAGCGUUAAUCGGAAUUACUGGGCGUAAAGCGCACGUAGGCGGCUUGGUAAGUUAGAGGUGAAAGCCUGGAGCUCAACUCCAGAAUUGCCUUUAAGACUGCCGAGCUAGCAGGUGAGAGAGGUAAGUGGAAUUCCGAGUGUAGAGGUGAAAUUCGUAGAUAUUCGGAAGAACACCAGUGGCGAAGGCGGCUUACUGGCUCAUACUGGACGCUGAGGUGCGAAAGCGUGGGGAGCAAACAGGAUUAGAUACCCCCGUAGUCCCUGUCUCUUAUACA